RNAcentral lists this ribosomal RNA (789 nucleotides) under Diploschistes muscorum. RNAcentral describes it as "eukaryotic LSU rRNA". It matches the Rfam family "Eukaryotic large subunit ribosomal RNA", at positions 145 to 953 of the family's 3401-position model. The record is from RNAcentral. Lineage: Eukaryota; Fungi; Ascomycota; Lecanoromycetes; Ostropales; Graphidaceae.
GUAAUUUGCAGAAGGUGCUUCGGGCGCGACGGCGGUCCAAGUUCCUUGGAAUCGGACGUCGAAGGGGUGAGAAUCCCGUAUUUGGCCGAUCGUCAAGCCCACUGCGAAGCCCUUUCGACGAGUCGAGUUGUUUGGGAAUGCAGCUCCAAGCGGGUGGUAAAUUUCAUCUAAAGCUAAAUACCUGCCAGAGACCGAUAGCGCACAAGUAGAGUGAUCGAAAGAUGAAAAGCACUUUGAAAAGAGAGUCAAACAGCACGUGAAAUUGUUGAAGGGGAAGCGCUUGCAACCAGACUCGCACGCGGGGGCUCAGCCGUUCCUCGGGACGGUGCACUCCCCCGCGAUCGGGCCAGCAUCGGUUUCGGCGGCCGGACAAAGGCCCGGGGAAAGUGGCUCCCUCGCGGGAGUGUUACAGCCCCGGGUGGAAUGCGGCCCGCCGGGACCGAGGACCGCGCUUUUGCUAGGAUGCUGGCGUAAUGGUUGCCAGCGACCCGUCUUGAAACACGGACCAAGGAGUCGACCGGCGACGCGAGUGUUCGGGCGUCAAACCCGGGCGCGCAAUGAAAGUGAACGGAGGUGGGAGCCCCCGGGCGCACCAUCGACCGAUCCUGAUGUCUUCGGAUGGAUUUGAGUACGAGCGCCGCCGGUCGGACCCGAAAGAUGGUGAGCUAUACGUGGAUAGGGUGAAGCCAGAGGAAACUCUGGUGGAGGCUCGCAGCGGUUCUGACGUGCAAAUCGAUCGUCAAAUCUGCGUAUAGGGGCGAAAGACUAAUCGAACCAUUUAUAUUGCCA